UAAGCAAGAAGUGAAUCGUACGGCUCAACCGUAUACACAUUUUUGAACUGGCAAGCUAGAGUAUAUGAGAGGUCACUGGAAUUUCUAGUGUAGGAGUGAAAUCCGUAGAUAUUAGAAGGAACACCGAUGGCGUAGGCAGGUGACUGGCAUAUUACUGACGCUAAGGCACGAAAGCGUGGGGGCGAACCGGAUUAGAUACCCGGGUAGUCCACGCCGUAAACGAUGGAUGCUA
This 232-nucleotide ribosomal RNA is filed under the name uncultured Candidatus Saccharibacteria bacterium. RNAcentral describes it as "partial 16S ribosomal RNA". It matches the Rfam family "Bacterial small subunit ribosomal RNA", at positions 584 to 818 of the family's 1533-position model. The record is from RNAcentral. Lineage: Bacteria; Candidatus Saccharimonadota.